CGUCAAAGUCAUAGAAAAAACUCGCCGUCAUUCUACUCGGCCAAUGAUGCAUACCUUCUCAUAUGGUGACCGGCGUAGCGCUAGGAACACAACCCUUUCCAUCCAUCAUUCAUAAACCAAUACCCCCUCCAAAACCCUAGCUGACAUCCAAACCCCGAUUCCUGUUAUUCAAAACAACUACUUUCAAGGGCUAAUCACCAAACGAUCGAUCACAUAUAGAGAACCCAUUUGAUUUGCAGCAUUGGUGGCUCCGAAGAAGCCAAGGAGCUGUGAAAGAAGUGGUCGUUGCUUUAGGCCGCUGCCAGAACGGUGCAGAAAGCGAAAAAAAAAAAAAAAAAUGUUGCUGUUGCAGCUCUAGCGUCUUAGAAGCUUCACCAGCAAUGUAGCAGACUUCUGUGCAUCUCCCCAUCGCAGAUUCAGGGCUCUGCUAUCUUUCGUAUGUGUUUGAUAUUGAUAUGUCCACUAAGCAGAAAGGAAAGAGGAACUUUUUAUUGAAAAACAAACAUGAGAAGCUAAAAGCAGGAGCUAAGGCCAUAUGGGACCCGAAAGCCACAAAAAUAUUUAUUGAGUUGUGCAAGUCUGAGGUUUUAGCAGGAAAUCAGCAUGGUAAUCAUUUGCGCAAUCCUGUUUGGAAAACUUUAGCUCCCAAGUUCAACGAGCUCACGGGAAAAGAAUAUGAACAAAAUCAACUAAAAAACAAGUGGGACAGUUUGCGAAAGGAUUGGCUAUUAUGGAAGACUUUGAUUAGUUGUGCAACUGGGUUAGGGUUUGAUUAUGCCAAGGGCCCGGAGGCUGAUGAUGAUUGGUGGGAAGCUAGAUUGAAGGUGGUGCCAAAUGCUGUGAAGUUCCGAAAGACUGGAGCUCCAAUGCAGUUGGAUGAUUUGGAGAUCAUGUUUAAGCACACAGUGGCUAAUGGUGAAUCUGUUUCAGCAUUCAAUUUGGAUGUGCUUCCUGAGGAAGAAAAUGUUUCAAGAAAGAAUGAUCCUCAAUUGGCAGAGGGUGGUGGAGACUCUAAAGAAGGAGAUAACAUUAGUUUAGAAAAACUUACUGCUGGGACCAUCAAAUGUGCAAGAAUUGAACGAGAGAAUGAAGGGAUGCAAGAGGAAACUGAUAACGAGUUUAAUAGUCAGAAAGAAAAGGAGAGAAACACCAUAGGAGGAGCAGCUAAGUUCUCGAGGCAACUAGAUCACAUAAUGGAAGUGAAGGAGGGAAGGUCUUCAGCUAAAAGUUCAGCUACCUCAAUGAUGACUAAUCUGCCAGGAUCUAGCAUUGCUGACGUAAUGGAGUUGAUGGAGAACAUACCUGAUAUUGAGCCUGGCAGCGAGCUUUAUAUGUUAGGCACUCGUUUGUUCAUGAAAUCAGAAAAUAGGGAAAUGUUUGUGGCCUUGAAAAGACCGCAUGUCCGAUUAGUAUGGCUCAAGCAAGAACUUGCUAGAGAGGGUCAAAAUAAUACCGUUGCCUAGGAUGCGUGUGGCUCAGAUGCAGAUUCAUGUGAAUUAUGGCAAGGAUGAUGAUGAAAAAUUGUUUGCUGUAGCAUUGGCAGGGUAAACCGCGGCCAUUUCAUAUUAUGAAGAAUGCAUCCACAAGGAAACAAGCAGAGCAUCUAUGUUGAGAGCUGUUUAUGCGAGGGGAAGGGCAGUCAACUGUGAAACCAAAAUCAAGGCUUAUAAUAAUCAGCUUAGUGGAUUAAUUCCAACCUCCCCCAGCUAGCCCCUAGGCAAGUCAAAAACUGUUCUUUUACCUGAUCGUAGAUGGAGGGAUAGGCAGUUUGCAGGAUUACAGAACUACUCAGACCAAUGUUACCUGGGGAAAAUCUCGAGCUUAUCAAUUGAAUGCGGAGAAAAAGAGAUCUUCACCAUGCAUGUACUAGCAAAGGCAGGCGUUAAGAGUGGAUGCUCUUUGUUUGGAUGAUGUGGAAAGCCAAGCCCUCUCAUGCUCCUUGGUUUCUACCCAUUGACAGGAGGCAUUUACAGAUAGAUUCAAUGCCCAUUCGGAACUGCUCUUAAAUUGAAGGGAUUUUGCUGUUUAAAAUUAGGGGUUUAGACUUCUGCUUUUUUGACAAGAACAGCUUUUGAGAACAGGGUAGAACUUCGUCCAACUCAAGGUCGCUACCUCAAAGUGUCCUAAAUGCAUAGAGUAAUAUGUCUGUUCAUGAGACUGACGAUUGGGGGUAGGGUUCGUUCGCACACAAGCUAAGGUCUCUCGCUGAACCAAAUUCUCAACUCUCU
RNA transcript from Malania oleifera, 2228 nucleotides. It is a transcript of the gene named L10-interacting MYB domain-containing protein-like, with no coding region annotated. The transcript is spliced from 7 exons. The record is from RefSeq and is a predicted model, not a curated record. Lineage: Eukaryota; Viridiplantae; Streptophyta; Magnoliopsida; Santalales; Ximeniaceae.